Entelurus aequoreus (snake pipefish) is the source of this 1705-nucleotide long non-coding RNA. RefSeq lists it as uncharacterized. NCBI's taxonomy places the organism in Eukaryota, Metazoa, Chordata, Actinopteri, Syngnathiformes, Syngnathidae. The record is from RefSeq and is a predicted model, not a curated record. The transcript has 8 exons.
UAGCGGAAGUGGCGUGGUCUCCUCUUUCCCGGUGUUGUGUUGAUUUGACAAAAAUGUACCCCAACAAUUAGACGUUGGGGUUAAUGUAAAAGAACGAGACAACAUUACUGCUCGACCCGAACAGCUUAAAGUCAAAGCCACUCGCUCAUCUCUGCGCUUGACAGCCUGUAGCUGCACCCGCAAUCUUGCUGCUGCUCCUGCCGGCUCUGGCAGCCCCGGGCGAGCUGACUGUAACCCACAAGCGAUCAUCCUGUCAGAUCAAGCCUGGCUCCACGCCCCCAGGGACCAGACUUGCCUCCCAAACACGGACAACCGCUCCAAGGCUGCUAUGCUAACCUUGGUCAAACGCAGUCCUCCAUAAUGCCCUUUACUCUGUUGGAGCUGGUGACGCUGUCUUGCUGCCUGAGGGACGCAUGCCUCUGCAUCAUCCAGCUGGCCUACCCAGAGACCAAAACGGAACACCGCGAAGAGUAUAUGGCGGACUUCCACAGGGUCAUCACUAACUUGGUGAAAAUGCUGAAAGCUUGCGACAUCAGAUGACCCUUCUGUCCAGCUGAUCAUUGGUGGUCCGAGGAAGUCAACAUUCGAGCAGAUAAGGUCACCCAGCUAUACGUGCCUUCUGCGAGACAUGUGUGGCGAACACAAAGGAUGGGCAGGAUUGGACCGCUUCAGUCUACACUGGAUGUGGACUCGGAGCCUCCCCAGCUGUCGGCGGGGAGACAUCUGGACAUCCUGACAAAGCUCCUUUGCGGGUCAAGAACCAGACUUGAAGAAAAUAAUUAGGGUCCACCUGCUGAACGCUCAUGGUGUAGAUGAGGCGGAUAUCGACGGAGGCGGUAUCUUUCUCCUCAAUGAGCUCCUCAAGUCAGGCUUCAACCCCAACCAGGGCGUCUUCAAGACCACCAACGAGGGCUUGCUGUAUCCCAACCCCGCCGCCAAGAUGCUGGUGGGAGAAUCCUUCACGCGACACUAACACUUCCUGGGCAGGAUCCUGGGAAAGGUGGUGGAGCUGAAGACGGGGGUUAAAGACCUCGACUACAGCCUCAACAAGCAGAUUCGGCCACGCUGCCUGGCUUUCAGGCAGGGUCGAGCCAACUUGGUCAACCUUCAGUGGCUGCGCAUGUUUGACCACGUUCUCUGCUGGGCUUUAAGGUAUGACCUCCAAAGUGUCUUCUCUUUGUGUAGCUGUCCUCUUAAGUCGGGGGUCGGCAACUUUACUCCCUGGAGCUUUUUCUAAAAUAUAUAAAAAUGGAAAAAUAUGGGGGGGAAAAUAUAUUUUUGUUUUCAUAUGGUUUCUUUAGGAGGACAAACAUGACACAAACCUUUCUAUUUGUUAUUUUAACAUGCUUCACUGAUGAGAGUAUUUGGCAAGCGCCUUUUUGUCCUACUAAUUUCGGCGGUCCUUGAACUCACCGUAGUUUGUUUACAUGUACAACUUUCUCAGACGCUGCCACAGAAAGACGUGUUUUAUGCCACUCCUUCUUUGUCUUAUUUUGUCCACCAAACUUUUUAUGCUGUGCGUGAAUGCACAAAGGUGAGCUUUUUUCCUCGGACUCAGUCUGGACCAUUCCUGAGGGUCCAGCCUCAGACUGAUAUUUUUUUUUACUUCCCCCCUUCCCCGAUGUCACCUUUUUCCCACCUUUUUAAGGAGCGCCUAAGUGAGGCUGAUCCGUUGGCGGUCCCGUCUUGUCUCCCUGUAACGUAU